UACGUAGGGGGCAAGCGUUGUCCGGAAUUAUUGGGCGUAAAGAGCGUGUAGGCGGCCAGAUAAGUCCGCUGUGAAAUCUCGAGGCUCAACUUCGAGCUGUCGGUGGAAACUAUCUGGCUAGAGUCCGGAAGAGGAGAAUGGAAUUCCUGGUGUAGCGGUGAAAUGCGCAGAUAUCAGGAAGAACACCCGUGGCGAAGGCGGUUCUCUGGGACGGUACUGACGCUGAGACGCGGAAGCGUGGGGAGCGAACAGG
RNAcentral lists this ribosomal RNA (253 nucleotides) under uncultured bacterium. RNAcentral describes it as "partial 16S ribosomal RNA". It matches the Rfam family "Bacterial small subunit ribosomal RNA", at positions 524 to 776 of the family's 1533-position model. The record is from RNAcentral.